This 490-nucleotide ribosomal RNA is filed under the name uncultured bacterium. Its description in RNAcentral is "partial 16S ribosomal RNA". It matches the Rfam family "Bacterial small subunit ribosomal RNA", at positions 29 to 507 of the family's 1533-position model. The record is from RNAcentral.
AGUGAACGCUGGCGGUAGGCCUAACACAUGCAAGUCGAACGGCAGCACAGGAGAGCUUGCUCUCUAGGUGGCGAGUGGCGGACGGGUGAGGAAUACAUCGGAAUCUGCCCAGUCGUGGGGGAUAACGUAGGGAAACUUACGCUAAUACCGCAUACGACCUUCGGGUGAAAGAGGGGGAUCGCAAGACCUCUCGCGAUUAGAUGAGCCGAUAUCGGAUUAGCUAGUUAGCGGGGUAAUGGCCCACCAAGGCGACGAUCCGUAGCUGGUCUGAGAGGAUGAUCAGCCACACUGGAACUGAGACACGGUCCAGACUCCUACGGGAGGCAGCAGUGGGGAAUAUUGGACAAUGGGCGCAAGCCUGAUCCAGCCAUACCGCGUGGGUGAAGAAGGCCUUCGGGUUGUAAAGCCCUUUUGUUGGGAAAGAAAUCUUUCAGGCUAAUACCCUGGGAGGAUGACGGUACCCAAAGAAUAAGCACCGGCUAACUUCGUG